Molecule: unclassified non-coding RNA, 299 nt
Organism: Callithrix jacchus (white-tufted-ear marmoset)
Lineage: Eukaryota; Metazoa; Chordata; Mammalia; Primates; Cebidae
Rfam family: Metazoan signal recognition particle RNA
About the family: The signal recognition particle (SRP) is a universally conserved ribonucleoprotein. It is involved in the co-translational targeting of proteins to membranes.
Source: Ensembl
GCCAGGCAUGGUGGCACAUGCCUGUAGUCCCAGCUACUCGGGAGGCUGAGGUGGGAGGAUCGCUUGAGCCCAGGAGUUCUGGGCUGUAGUGAGCUAUGCCAAUCGGGUGUCCUCACUAAGUUCGGCAUCAAUAUGGUGACCUCCCGGUAGCGUGGAGCCACCAGGUUGCCUAAGGAGGGGUGAACCAGCUCAGGUCAGAAAUAGAGCAGGUCAAACUCUCAUGCUGAUCAGUAAUGGGAUCGCACCUGUGAACAGCAACUGCACUCCAGCCUGGGCAACAUAGUGAGACCCUAUCUCUA